This 301-nucleotide ribosomal RNA is filed under the name uncultured bacterium. Its description in RNAcentral is "partial 16S ribosomal RNA". It matches the Rfam family "Bacterial small subunit ribosomal RNA", at positions 509 to 807 of the family's 1533-position model. The record is from RNAcentral.
CAGUAGCCGCGGUAAUACGGAGGGAGCUAGCGUUGUUCGGAAUUACUGGGCGUAAAGCGCACGUAGGCGGUUUAUCAAGUCAGAGGUGAAAGCCCGGGGCUCAACCCCGGAACUGCCUUUGAAACUAGUAGACUUGAAUCUUGGAGAGGUCAGUGGAAUUCCGAGUGUAGAGGUGAAAUUCGUAGAUAUUCGGAAGAACACCAGUGGCGAAGGCGACUGACUGGACAAGUAUUGACGCUGAGGUGCGAAAGCGUGGGGAGCAAACAGGAUUAGAUACCCGAGUAGUCCCUGUCUCUUAUAC